This 97-nucleotide non-coding RNA is filed under the name pig gut metagenome. RNAcentral describes it as "TPP riboswitch (THI element)". It matches the Rfam family "TPP riboswitch aptamer (THI element)", at positions 7 to 92 of the family's 105-position model. From Rfam's summary of the family: Vitamin B(1) in its active form thiamin pyrophosphate (TPP) is an essential coenzyme that is synthesised by coupling of pyrimidine and thiazole moieties in bacteria. The previously detected thiamin-regulatory element, thi box was extended, resulting in a new, highly conserved RNA secondary structure, the THI element, which is widely distributed in eubacteria and also occurs in some archaea. The record is from RNAcentral.
UAUCAAUAGGGGAGCUGCGCAUAAAGCGGCUGAGAGGGAAUUUUCAGUUCCGACCCUUGACCUGAUUCGGAUAAUGCCGGCGUAGGGAAUUGUUUGU